UAGAUGGAGAGAGACCCCGAGCCCAGGGCGAAGACACCCAAAGCGGCCAAGCAGUCCAAAAAAGACUCUAACAGCGAGUGGAAAACUACAUUCUCGUCAAGCAAGACCUCCUUCACCAAAGGCAGGGUUUCGUUCCUGAGGACAAGGUUGUUCAUCUCCUGGGGGAAAUCCUCGUUUUCCUGGAGCAAAACCGUAGUAACUUUGGGCAGCAACAGCAUAACGGUGGCUAAAACCUCGGUGACGCGGGGGGAGACCACCAGCUCUCUCAUGACUCUGACCUUUACCUACGGGACCAAAUCUGUGUCUGUUGUCAAGACGACCCUCAUCAGGGGCAAGGAAAGGCACAGCAACAUCUACUGGGAUUUUCACACGUGAAUCCAGCACACAAAUAAAAGCUCGUGGAUGUGUCUGUGUGGUCAGUGUUAGAAGUCCUGGCCUGAGCAGCAGGAUCAGAUGACACUGCAGUCGAACUCAUCGCAAAGGAAACUCCCUUUUCCUGCGCUGCUGGACUGGCACAAAAAGUCAAGUUUUGCUCUCUUGUAGCCAAAACAAAACAAAACAAAAAAAAACCCAAAGCAGGUUCUGUUUCUCUUGAUUUCCCUCUGAAGAGUCAAAGCAAAGUGUUUGGUGGUUGGCGGAGGUGCAGACGGAUCGGGGCGUCAGACGGGCAGCGACGGCGUUUUGAUUGGGAGAUGAUAAUAAAUCAGGGAUAUAAAUGUGAGAGCAAGCUGAUCGGUUCAUGAUUGAUCCCCAAACCUACUGAACCUCUGCUGCAACCGCUAGCGAAUCAUGAAGAACGCAAAAGAGAGGUUGCAAAGAAAAAUUCAAAUACUUGUCGAAACAUUUUGACGUCGAAAUAACGCACAAAACGAUGCAAAGCAAGCACGUCCGGCAUGCAGAAACGUGGAUCUUUUUUUUGUGUGUGUGUGUUUGCAGCAGCCGCGUCGUUCCCGUCAGCUUCCUUCCUUUCUUUCUUUCUUUCUUCCUUCCUUUCUUUCUUUCUCACUUAUAUCAUUUAUUCCUUCCCAGGUUCUCCGUGUCCACAGCAACAGCAGCACUCGUCCUGCAGUCCUCCCACCGACACGGACGUCUUAGCCAGACCAGAAAGCAACAAAUCAUUUCGUUUUCUCCGUUUAUUACUGCCGCUUGAACAGCAUUUGGUGAAAUUCGGCUCAGAUUUUCACUCUCCGCAGGAAGCCUCAGCCGAGUUAAAGUAGGAAACCUGUUGCUACUGGCAACUGGACACCAUGUUUACCCUCCUGUUUCAAAAACUCUCCAUUUUAAAUAGAAUCUCAUCGUUAUUCGUAGUUUCCAUCUUGCUCAUUUCACCCUCCUCGUACGGAAACUGUUCCCUGACAUGAUGCAAAUGUUUGCUCAAGAAGUUCCCAGCGCCCCGUUCUCUGCACGCAGGUGUCCUCCUCUGUAAACGUGUCUCUAAUUAAAGCAGACUCGGCUUUAUGAAACACUGAGCUGAGAUCAGUUCUGUGGGACAAGAAACACUAAAAAAAAAAGAACUUUUUCUUCCCAAAGCAGAACUGAAACCAUGUUGUUGUUCCCCCUCCCAACAAAACAUAUUAAGAAUGGAAAGGGUUAAUCUGUGUCUUUGCUGACUGUAUGUUAAAAUAGACUUUUUACAUUUAUACACACGUAUAUGAGGAUAUAAGAAAAGCUUGGCACGCCGCACUAAUGAGAAGCACUAACGUCAUUUAGCUCAUGCACUGCAAAAAAAAAAAAAAUGUUACCAAGUAUUUGUUGUCUAGUUUCUAGUGAAAAUAUCUUCCUACUAAAACUAACUUAGAAGUAACUUUUAGCAAGAAAUAAGAGCUUUUUAAAGUAAAUAAUUAGUUAUUCCACUUUUAACAUGGUGAAAUAUUCUUUUAUUUACUUAAAACAAGCUCUUAUAUCUUGCUGAAAAAUUACUUGUAAGUUAGUUUGUUUUAUUUCAAGACAUUUGCGCUAGAAACUAAACCAAAAUACUUGGUAGUAUUUAGUGUUUUUGCAGCCAGGUAUCUGUGUCUGGAUAAUUUAUAAGAAGAACGUCACGCACGGCCAAGAGGCCGGCUGCACAUUCAGCUUCCACAUCCCAUAACGACUCCGAUCAGCUCAGAGUGGAACGAAAAGGAAAAGUGACGAAAGAGAAGAUCGGACAGACGCACCUGGAGGAAAACAUCUCCUUUAAAAGAAGUUAAUCGCUAAAAGAAACGAGGAAAAUGCAGAAUUUGGAGUGAGCAUUACUGACAGAAAGCAUUUUGAGUUUUAUUUCCGUCUCGUCUUGUUUGUCUUUAAAUGCUUACAUGAUUAAAAGUGUCUGAGCACGGUCGGAGCAAACUGAAAACAAGCGUGUUCGUGGUUCCUCACUCAUGUUCGUGUUAAAAGUCCGAUGUGAAACCGUUUUGUUUCCUUUGCAGCCAUGUCUGCUUUGUGUUGUGUGUUGUGGCUCCAUGUAUCUCACUUUAAUGCAAAAAAGGACCAUAAAGAGAAUAAAAAAUGCUUGAAUGUGUGUCUA
This is a non-coding RNA of Poecilia reticulata (guppy), 2506 nucleotides long. Lineage: Eukaryota; Metazoa; Chordata; Actinopteri; Cyprinodontiformes; Poeciliidae. The record is from RefSeq and is a predicted model, not a curated record.